Bacillus rossius redtenbacheri is the source of this 5429-nucleotide long non-coding RNA. RefSeq lists it as uncharacterized. Lineage: Eukaryota; Metazoa; Arthropoda; Insecta; Phasmatodea; Bacillidae. The record is from RefSeq and is a predicted model, not a curated record. The transcript is spliced from 2 exons.
GGUUGAAAUUUUGCAGGGUUGUUGAAAUCAAAUUUAGGGACUUUACUGACGGGACUCUGGGCUGGCUGCUCUGUUCACUCGUCAGCGCAAGUGGCGUGACCAUGUAAUUGGGGCACGGGGCCGGCGCGGCGCGCUGCGGGCUUGCAGAAUUUUGUUUGUUUGUUUGGCCGCGCGCUGGCGCAGCCACGGGCCGCAGUUACUGGGGCGCGCUGUCGUAACAAGCCGCGCGGUGUGGCCUGCACAUCGGGGUAGAGGGGGGGUAGUCUUCCCAGAUGUUCUAGUUAGUUGUUUAGUAAAUUUGACUUCAAUAACGAGCUUUUGUUAUGGUAGGCGCGGCAGGGCGCGCGAAUUUAAGCGCAAGUGAGUAAUGUAGUCGUCAAGCUCACUCAGGCGGAGGCUAUGCGUCUCACCUGUGGUCACGAGUUGUUAGUUCGUUCGUGAUGUAGGAAUUCAGGCUCACUCAGGCGGAGGCUAUGCGUCUCACCUGUGGUCACGAGUUGUUAGUUCGUUCGUGAUGUAGGAAUUCAGGCUCACUCAGGCGGAGGCUAUGCGUCUCACCUGUGGUCACGAGUUGUUAGUUCGUUCGUGAUGUAGGAAUUCAGGCUCACUCAGGCGGAGGCUAUGCGUCUCACCUGUGGUCACGAGUUGUUAGUUCGUUCGUGAUGUAGGAAUUCAAGCUUUCGGGCGGAAGCUAUGGCCGACGCCAGAGGCCACGAGUCGUUUAAUUUAAGUUAGGUCAUAAUGUAGUCAUCUUCAAGCUUUCGGGCGGAGGCUAUGGCCCUCGUCAGGGGUCACGCGUCAUAGUUUUUAAAAUGUAAUGUUCGUUCGGGAUUUCAAGGGCAGGAGAGGCCCCUACGUUAUUUUUUUAAAGUAAUCGAUCAAGAAAGGCUUUUCGGAAAAUGUGAGUAUGGACUUAUCUUUGUUUUAAUUUUAAGUAUUAAUUAUGAUUUGAGGUAUUCGGAAGGACUAGGGAAGUGUUUAGUGAAGUUCUCUCAUUCUCUCUCUUGUAAGGUCGUUCAAUCGUUAAGGAAGUAAAGAGAUUAUUGUUUUAAAUUGUAAUCCCGCUAUUUAAAUGUUCUUUAAAAUGAUGUUGAGUAUUUGACUUUAAGAAUAAAAUAAUUUUAAUUAAGUAUUAUGUUAUUUUGCAAAAUCUCCUUAGUUCAGCUCUCACCAGACAUCCUGUACGGGAUGACGAACCUAUGAUCCUAGGUACAGUAAAGUAUUUUAUGAAGUUAAGACUAGUUGAUGCCAAGCGAGUUGUUUCUAUGUAAAGAGCUACGAUUCUCGCCCCCCCCCCCCCUCUGAAGGUGGAUCGUGACAGAAAUGGUAGAGUUCGCCGGAUAGGUUCUAUUUCUGGAGAGAGAGAGAGGUAGAUUUUUAUGUUUAUUAUUAAGUUAGUUUCAGCUUCUGAUAGCAGGUUAUUAAGAGUUUACUUGAGGAGAGGAUUACGGAAUUUUAGUCUAUAGUGGAGGAAGUCUUUGAGAUUUUUUUUUUGACGUAACAGAUGUUUAUUUGAGGAUACUUGUAAGGAUAAAGUUUAUAGUGAUAAGUUGUUUUAAGUCGUUGAAUUUAUUGUAGAUUUAUAUCGGGGAUUAUUACGUGAGGAGAAUACGUUAUAAGUUAAAUACUUAAUAAAGAUAAUGCAAGUGGUUUAGUUUUAUUAAAGUUAAUUUAAGAUUGUAGGUUAAGAGAAUUAUAAUUUAAAAUAAAGUUUUUUGUCGUAAAUAGGAAUUAUUUUCAAGAGAAGUUGGUUUUGUUUUCGUGCGCGUAGGAGACGAGACGUACGAAUUAAAUCAGUCGAGGGAAGGAUAAACGUUAGAAAGGAAUUAAAGAGAAAACGAGAGUUUAUGUAAAAGAGAGUUAUAGAAUUUAUAGUGAUGUUUUGUUUUAAUUAGAAAAAUGUUGAGAGUUGUUUCAGAACGACACGUCAGUGGACGUGGCAGAGUGAACACGUGACGGGGAGGUGCUGAGACCUAGCGGAGAACGGAGGAACCGCAAGCGAGGGUUGGCGCACCUGAUGGAAUUCGGUGACGUCACGGGCUCAUACGGAGACGUGGACAGGCCGUGACCUUGUUUUGAUCAGCUGUACGGUAACUUAGCGAUAAGAAAAUAGACUAUUGGUUAAAUAAAUUUAAAUUUAAGUGUGUUUUAGGAGAAGAGGAACUUUCAGUAUAUUCCUUAAGAUGAGCUGAGCAGCAGUCCAGUUUACAAGAUGACAAGAGUUCGAGAGACAAGAUACAAGAUCACUGAAACAAGAGCCAAGACUGAAGAUUCAAGAGAAGAGAAAGCUGGCAGCCAUGGACUUACAAGUGGAGAUUAAUAAGGUCAUGUAAAGUUUUAUUUUUUUUUAUGGAAGACAGUAACUGGAGUUUUUUUUUGUUAUAAACAUUAUUUACAGAACUUUUUAGGUUAUAGUAAUGUGAUGGAACUAGUGAGUUGUGGUAGCUGUCAAAAAGAACUAAUACCUUAAGUUUAAUUUUUAAAGUUAAUUUUCUUAAUUUACAGAGGGAUUAGUAGUUUUUUUUAAACCUUAUUUAGGUUGGAAUUUAAAUACAAUAGCUUAUUAUAAAUGUGUACGAACAGUUCAAGUUCACAGUACUGAUAGGUAGGUCAGAUGAUCUUAUUGAUUUUGAUGAUUUGUUGUUUUGAGUUGAUUUUUAAGUGUUGUGAAUUAGACAAUGAAAUAGUUCUGAAAACUUAAAUUAUUUCAAGCUAAGAAAUAGUAAAGUUAAUUGUAACUCAAAGGACACCAGAAUUUAAUUUUUUUUUGAAUUAGUAAUGUUUGAAAAUUUUAUACUUUACAAGAAAGGUUAUAAACAAACAGAUCGGAUGGAACAAGGAUGCAGUAAAUCACAAUUUCAUUUAGAAUUAUUGAUUAGCUUUUGAGGUUAUGAAGUAAAAGUAAUUAUAAUUUAAAAGUUUGAAUAAAAAAAUGUUUUUUUUAUUUGUUUGAAAUAGAAAAUUUAAAAGUUAAUUAGUCAUGAUCUAGGUGGGUGAUGGGGUGGGAAUUGGCCACUCUUUUUCCCUAUAACCUCCCUAACAUGGCCUUCUAUUACAACUAACAGAAAUAAAGAAGAAGAAAAAUGAAGAAUUAUUAGUUAGAAUGUUUCUUUCAUGAAGAUACCUGAUGAACUUUUACUGUUUGGAAGAAUAGAAGCAAGGUUAGUCAGAUAUUUUUACUCAGAAGAAGAAGAAGAUAAAGCAGUUUUAUGACUCGACAAGCCAGAGAUUGGUGUUUCCCCUCUGCGCUCCUAUUGACUACGUUGUUUACUCUCAUGGGAUAGCUGGUUCGGCACCAUGGAGAGAGAUUGGUGGGCAUUGUGGUUGCCCCCAGAAGAAAAGAAGAGUAGAAGAGGUUAUGGGUGGGUCAUGUGAACUGACCUUCAACCCAGUUACUUCGUGGGGACUAUUUGCUGUAUAGAGAAGAUCAAGACUCAAGAGGUAGGGAAAAUCAUUGGAGGUCAUGUUUCCCUUCCUUAAGUUUUUCCUAUCAAAUUAUUUGCCUGAUUAGAUUAUGCUAAGGGUGGGAUAAUUUAUGUUAGCAGUUGAAUUAAUUAAUUUUAUUUUUUUGUGUGUUUGCAUCCUUGCCCAUCGAUUGCAGUUUAGUAGUUAGUUUUGUAUUUGUCAGGCGUGAUGGUAAUGCCUGUUGAUGAUGUUUCAGAAUUGUAAUCUGUUCGUGAUGAGGAUGGCACAACUCCGAAGCAGAUGUGGGGAGAAGUUGUGAGCUGCCCUGGAAGCCAGUCCAGUAGCUGUUGGAGUUGAGUGGUGUUUGCUGAUGGCCAGCCCAGGGAGCUACUCUUCUCGACAACACUGACUUCGAGGAGUUGCACCAACCUUCACGAGAUAAGAGUUUAAUUAAUUGAAACACUGUAAGGACACUUAAUUUUUUUUGAAGAACGAAAGAAGUAUGGUAAUAAACGGAAACCGAAAAAAAAAUAAUAAUAAUAAUUAUCAAGAAUUUGCACAUUGUUUAACGAAUACUGAGAAACUAAGAACAGUAAUUUAAUUUGUAAAGAGAGCUUCACUAACAGAACAAUUUUUUUAGAAUUGAGAACUCGAGCCUCUGAAGGUUCCUGUGAGAACAAACCAGAUAAAAGUUUUACAUUUAAUUUUAUGAAUACUUGUUGUUUUAAAAUAAAUCUUAUGCAGAAUCUAGAUGUAUGUUCAGACAGCAAGGAACUAAGAAAAUUAUUAUUUUUGUGAAAUGAGGAAUUUAUAGUUAUGGUUUAAUGGAAAAAGACAAUUUGUAAUUUUGAGGUAGCUCGAUGGGGCUCGAGCUCUGUGAGGGGAGGGUUAUGUCGCGGGUUGAAAUUUUGCAGGGUUGUUGAAAUCAAAUUUAGGGACUUUACUGACGGGACUCUGGGCUGGCUGCUCUGUUCACUCGUCAGCGCAAGUGGCGUGACCAUGUAAUUGGGGCACGGGGCCGGCGCGGCGCGCUGCGGGCUUGCAGAAUUUUGUUUGUUUGUUUGGCCGCGCGCUGGCGCAGCCACGGGCCGCAGUUACUGGGGCGCGCUGUCGUAACAAGCCGCGCGGUGUGGCCUGCACAUCGGGGUAGAGGGGGGGUAGUCUUCCCAGAUGUUCUAGUUAGUUGUUUAGUAAAUUUGACUUCAAUAACGAGCUUUUGUUAUGGUAGGCGCGGCAGGGCGCGCGAAUUUAAGCGCAAGUGAGUAAUGUAGUCGUCAAGCUCACUCAGGCGGAGGCUAUGCGUCUCACCUGUGGUCACGAGUUGUUAGUUCGUUCGUGAUGUAGGAAUUCAGGCUCACUCAGGCGGAGGCUAUGCGUCUCACCUGUGGUCACGAGUUGUUAGUUCGUUCGUGAUGUAGGAAUUCAGGCUCACUCAGGCGGAGGCUAUGCGUCUCACCUGUGGUCACGAGUUGUUAGUUCGUUCGUGAUGUAGGAAUUCAGGCUCACUCAGGCGGAGGCUAUGCGUCUCACCUGUGGUCACGAGUUGUUAGUUCGUUCGUGAUGUAGGAAUUCAAGCUUUCGGGCGGAAGCUAUGGCCGACGCCAGAGGCCACGAGUCGUUUAAUUUAAGUUAGGUCAUAAUGUAGUCAUCUUCAAGCUUUCGGGCGGAGGCUAUGGCCCUCGUCAGGGGUCACGCGUCAUAGUUUUUAAAAUGUAAUGUUCGUUCGGGAUUUCAAGGGCAGGAGAGGCCCCUACGUUAUUUUUUUAAAGUAAUCGAUCAAGAAAGGCUUUUCGGAAAAUGUGAGUAUGGACUUAUCUUUGUUUUAAUUUUAAGUAUUAAUUAUGAUUUGAGGUAUUCGGAAGGACUAGGGAAGUGUUUAGUGAAGUUCUCUCAUUCUCUCUCUUGUAAGGUCGUUCAAUCGUUAAGGAAGUAAAGAGAUUAUUGUUUUAAAUUGUAAUCCCGCUAUUUAAAUGUUCUUUAAAAUGAUGUUGAGUAUUUGACUUUAAGAAUAAAAUAAUUUUAAU